UUCUAGUAAAGUUUUUAUGCA
RNAcentral lists this non-coding RNA (21 nucleotides) under Caenorhabditis elegans. Lineage: Eukaryota; Metazoa; Nematoda; Chromadorea; Rhabditida; Rhabditidae. The record is from RNAcentral.